CAGCAGCCGCGGUAACACGUAGGGGGCGAGCGUUGUCCGGAUUUAUUGGGCGUAAAGAGCUCGUAGGCGGUUCCGUCAGUCGGGUGUGAAAACUCUGGGCUCAACCCAGAGACGCCACCCGAUACUGCGGUGACUAGAGUCCGGUAGGGGAGUGCGGAAUUCCUGGUGUAGCGGUGAAAUGCGCAGAUAUCAGGAGGAACACCAACGGCGAAGGCAGCACUCUGGGCCGGUACUGACGCUGAGGAGCGAAAGCGUGGGGAGCGAACAGGAUUAGAUACCCUGGUAGUCCACGCCGUAAACGUUGGGCACUAGGUGUGGGACCUUUCCAACGGGUUCCGUGCCGCAGCUAACGCAUUAAGUGCCCCGCCUGGGGAGUACGGCCGCAAGGCUAAAACUCAAAGGAAUUGACGGGGGCCCGCACAAGCGGCGGAGCAUGUUGCUUAAUUCGAGGCAACGCGAAGAACCUUACCUGGGUUUGACAUGUAGGGAAAAGCUGCAGAGAUGCAGUGUCCUUCGGGGCCCUACACAGGAGGUGCAUGGCC
Molecule: ribosomal RNA, 542 nt
Filed under: uncultured archaeon
Lineage: Archaea
Description: bacterial SSU rRNA
Rfam family: Bacterial small subunit ribosomal RNA
Source: RNAcentral